UCGUCUAAGGUUCACGGUCAUCUAGUGCCAAACACGCAUUAUCUGUGGUUGACAACAAGCUCAUAGCCACAUCUGCAUUGUUGAAUGCUAUUCUAAUUAGUGUUCUGAAUGGCUUCUUCCCCUAGAAAACUAAUUUGCUAAGGGCUGUGAACACUGUGCUGAUUUCAUCAUAUACCCAUGGUAUUCAAGUGGAGACUCACAAAAAUAUGAUUAGGUGCCCUUUGGACUUAAAGUUUUACUUCCAGGGAAGAACACAUCAUUUAGUGAGAUUGUGGUUGGCUUUAUUUUGUAACAGGAAAAAGUAGCGACACAGAUAGAAUUUUUUUUUUUUUUAAUGAUUAGCAAUCAAUAUUGGUCGCUAACAUCACAUAAACAACGGGACAUAUCAAAAGUCUAAGUACUCACUUUUUGAUCAUGUAACAGUGGGGAUGAGUGGCAGGUGAACAUUAUCAUCACCAAGCCAAACAGCUCCAAUCAUUUGAGUUUGUGGUCAGAGCGUUCCUCUUCCAAUCGUAUUACCAGCUCAAACCGAUGCAUGUAUUUCACUAGUGCCAUGACCCGGAGUUGGACAAAGGUUUAGUGAAUGGCCACUAUGAGGUCAUCCAGAGGAUGAAGGAAACGAGCAGGAAGAUGACGCUGGUUAACGACGCAGCGGAGCCCAGAUACAGCAUCGCCCCUACGCCAAGGAGAGCCAUGAGCAGGCUGUAGCUGAUGGAGCCCAGGAGCUCCUCCGCCCUGCGGGCCACCUCCUCCGCCCCCAGUGCCGGCUGGUUACACACGGCGUCCAUGUGGUUGACCAGGACCUCCGAGCCGUAGGCGAAGUCCGCCACGGA
Long non-coding RNA from Gadus morhua (Atlantic cod), 833 nucleotides. RefSeq lists it as uncharacterized. NCBI's taxonomy places the organism in Eukaryota, Metazoa, Chordata, Actinopteri, Gadiformes, Gadidae. The record is from RefSeq and is a predicted model, not a curated record. The transcript is spliced from 4 exons.